Molecule: transfer RNA, 72 nt
Filed under: Actinomycetota bacterium
Lineage: Bacteria; Bacillati; Actinomycetota
Description: tRNA-Gln
Rfam family: tRNA
About the family: Transfer RNA (tRNA) molecules are approximately 80 nucleotides in length. Their secondary structure includes four short double-helical elements and three loops (D, anti-codon, and T loops).
Source: RNAcentral
UGGGGAGUGGUGUAGCUGGCAACACUCGGCACUUUGGAUGCCGCAUCCCCGGUUCAAGCCCGGGCUCCCCAG